AUGAUGUUCUUCGCGGGUGUAUCAGUAAUCGUCGACGGCAAGCUCGUGCACGCCACCACCUCCCCGACUACUGCCAGCGCCAGCGGGUACCACUUGCUUGUUGUUGAAGGCCAGUCGUGCACUCCAGAACCUAUUAAGUCUCGCUGUUUCAUAAUCGGAGGCCAUCGCUGGUACAUCAUGUUCUACCCCAAUGACGAACACCUGAACAACAAUGGAUAUAUAACCCUUUGGCUUCACCUCCAUAAGGAAGAGGCACCGGCUACAGAGACCGUGAAGGCACAGUUCAAGUUCAGUUUCGUUGACGAGACCGACAAGCACAAGCCGGCAUGCAUCCAUGGUAGAAAAUUAUCCGAGUUUGAAGCUGGCGGCAACGACGAGGGACGGGAGGCAAUGGGGAAAUCUGAACACCUCAAGGACGACAGUUUCACCAUCCGGUGCGACAUCGUGGUUGUCACGGAAGAAGUGAUCACCACCACCGGACCCACGGCCACCGCUUCUUCGUUAAUUGUGGUGCCGCCGUCCAACAUGCAACGAAACUUCACCGAUCUUCUCCUGACCGGAGAGGGCACCGAUGUGGCCUUCCGAGUCGGCGGCGAGACGUUUGCCGCCCACCGAUGCGUUCUCGCGGCCCGGUCUACCGUCUUCAGGGCGUUGCUCUUCGGUCCGAUGAAGGAAGGCACGUCCGCCAUGGUGCAGAUAGAUGACAUGAACGCAGCAGUGUUCAAGGCGAUGUUAGGGUUCAUCUACGGAGACUCACUUCCUGCACCAGCAGUGCAGGACGAGGACGUCGUUAUGCUGCCGCACCUUCUUGCUACAGCCGACAGGUACGACCUGCUGAGGCUGAGGAUGAUGUGGGAGAAGAAGCUGUGCGAGCACAUCAACGUGAGCACCGCGGCAGUCAUCCUGGCGCUCGCCGAGCAGCACGGCUGUGAAGGGCUGAAGAAGGCAUGCAGCGAGUUCCUCCGGUGUCCAGACAACCUGAGAGCGGUGCUAGCCACGGACGGCUUUGAUCAUUUGUGCAGGAGCUGCCCCACUCUCAUGAAGGACAUGAUACUUGGUGUGCUGCCGCCUGCCGGCUAA
RNAcentral lists this ribosomal RNA (1080 nucleotides) under Triticum aestivum (bread wheat). Its description in RNAcentral is "partial small subunit ribosomal RNA". Lineage: Eukaryota; Viridiplantae; Streptophyta; Magnoliopsida; Poales; Poaceae. The record is from RNAcentral.